GACGAACGCUGGCGGCGUGCUUAACACAUGCAAGUCGAACGGAAAGGCCCCUUUGGGGGUACUCGAGUGGCGAACGGGUGAGUAACACGUGAGUAACCUGCCCUUGACUUCGGGAUAACUUCAGGAAACUGGGGCUAAUACCGGAUAGGAAUCCUUGCUGCAUGGUGGGGGUUGGAAAGCUUCGGCGGUUUUGGAUGGACUCGCGGCUUAUCAGCUUGUUGGUGGGGUAGUGGCUUACCAAGGCUUUGACGGGUAGCCGGCCUGAGAGGGCGACCGGCCACAUUGGGACUGCGAUACGGCCCAGACUCCUACGGGAGGCAGCAGUGGGGAAUAUUGCACAAUGGGCGGAAGCGUGAUGCAGCAACGCCGCGUGCGGGAUGACGGGCUUCGGGUUGUAAACCGCUUUCAGCAGGGGCGAAGCUUGUGGUGACGGUACCUGCAGAAGAGGCACCGGCUAACUACGUG
RNAcentral lists this ribosomal RNA (465 nucleotides) under uncultured bacterium. Its description in RNAcentral is "partial 16S ribosomal RNA". It matches the Rfam family "Bacterial small subunit ribosomal RNA", at positions 28 to 507 of the family's 1533-position model. The record is from RNAcentral.